UAAUUCAAAUACAAAAAAGUUGUGUGUCCACUUGUUCUGCCUGUAUCAUUUAAAUUACAUAUCUAAAGCAUAAUGUGUGUUUUGUUUGUCAUACAUUUGGCAUAUAUAUUUAAAACAGUGUAAAGGAAGGUUUUAGAAGUUCUUUGUAUAUGUAUACAUAUUGCCAUCUUUCACUCUGGUUUGUCAACAGUCUGGGAAUUAUAUUUGAAACUGAUGCAAAACGUUACAUUAUUCAGCAAUCUAAUUUAUUUGAGACAAAAAAUGAGUAUUUAUUUAAACUUCUUGAAAACAUGUGAGACAAUAUCUCUAUAGGAUGUUCUUUCAUUAAUAUCAAGACAUUUCUGUGUUGAGUAUGAAAUAUUUGUAUUUAUCAUAUAUUAAGUACAAAAUACAGCUAUUUUGUAUAUUUAAUAAAGGUUGUUUUUCCAGUCUGUAUCACCUACCCUGUAUCGCAUACCCCGUAUCGCAUAGCUAAACCCGUAUCGCAUACCCCGUAUCGCAUGGUAAAACCCGUAUCGCAUCUUUUUUUUUUUUUUUUUUUUUUUACAAAUAGUUUUAUGUUUUUUUUUUGCUUAAGAAAAAAUUUCCUCAAAAUAGGUCAUUUUUUUAAUGACGUCAUUGUUUGGUAUGUAACGUCACGAACGUCAAGUUUUCAUAUUGUAUGUGACGUCACGAACAUCAAGUUUGCAUAUUUUUUGGCACACUAAAUGCAACUAUAAAAAAUACAAAACACUCAAAUAAAUACAAUAAUAAACAAAAUAUUUUUAAAACAGCAGCAGGCAAAUGGUAAGGUAACCUAGGUGCUUUGUAUAAGCAGUUAUUUUAAGGCUUUGAACCAAGACAAAAGCAGAACUGAAGGUAACCCAGUGCUAAUCUAUCGGGAUCAGAAAACAGUUCAUAUAAUAUAAUACUCUUCUGUUGAAAUAUAUGAUAAAGCGUAUAAUACAUGGCAAAAUCCGUAUCACAUGCCGUAUCACCCUCG
RNAcentral lists this long non-coding RNA (982 nucleotides) under Mytilus galloprovincialis (Mediterranean mussel). The record is from RNAcentral. Lineage: Eukaryota; Metazoa; Mollusca; Bivalvia; Mytilida; Mytilidae.